RNA transcript from Andrographis paniculata, 2583 nucleotides. It is a transcript of the gene named C-terminal binding protein AN-like, with no coding region annotated. The record is from RefSeq and is a predicted model, not a curated record. Lineage: Eukaryota; Viridiplantae; Streptophyta; Magnoliopsida; Lamiales; Acanthaceae. The transcript has 7 exons.
CAUAUAUAAAUACUCCGGCGUUCCAAAACCUUUACGAUAAAUCUCCAAACGCAGUCAGUAUGUUUAAGCAGCGCAUAAAGUAGUAUUCCUUCCGACGGCGUCACAGAUCUCCGGCGACGAUGCCUCGCCGUGGCGUCGCCGAUCUUCAGUCCCAAUCACCACUACCUCUAGUCGUUGCGCUCAAUUGCAUUGAAGAUGUACAGCUCGAGCAGGAAUGCUUGUCCGGCGUGGCGCAGGUGGAGCACGUUCCCCUGAGUCGACUGGCAGAGUCGCGGAUCGAGUCGGCGGACGCGAUUUUGUUGCAUUCUCUGUCGUUCCUCCCACGCGCCGCGUACCGCCGGCUUCGCCCCUGGCAGUUGAUCUUGUGCCUCGGAUCCUCCGACCGCGAUGUCGAGUCGGCUCUCGCGGCCGACCUCGGGUUGAACCGGAUGGUCCACGUUGAUGUGAGCAGAUCAGAGGAGGUGGCGGAUACGGUGAUGGCGCUGAUUUUGGGGCUACUCAGGCGUACGCAUCUGCUGUCGAGUCACACUCUCUCGGCAUCAGGGUGGCUCGGUUCAGUGCAGCCGCUCUGCCGCGGGAUGCGCCGUUGCCGUGGAUUGGUGUUGGGGAUUGUCGGUAGAUCUGCGUCCGCCACUUCACUGGCUAAUAAGAGCUUGGCGUUUAAGAUGAGUGUAUUGUACUUUGACGUGCAAGAGGGAAAUGGUAUGUUAAGAAGAUCUUCCUUGAGAUUCCCUGCUGCUGCCAGAAGAAUGGAUACACUUAAUGACUUGCUAGCUGCAAGUGACCUCAUUUCGCUGCACUGUUCGCUGACUAACGACACUAUUCAAAUUCUUAAUGCGAGUUGUUUGCAGCAUAUAAAACCUGGGGCAUUUCUGGUAAAUACCGGGAGCAGCCAGCUUCUGGAUGAUUGUUCUGUGAAACAACUUUUGAUUGAAGGCAAGCUUGCAGGAUGUGCUCUGGAUGGUGCUGAAGGACCACAAUGGAUGGAGGCAUGGGUUAGAGAGAUGCCCAAUGUUUUGAUACUUCCCCGUAGUGCCGACUUUAGUGAAGAAGUCUGGAUGGAGAUAAGGGAGAAGGCUAUUUCAGUACUGCAACAGUUCUUUAUUGAUAAUACAUUUCCAAAAUCUGCUUUAUCUGACAAGGAAGAAGAGGUGGAAAGUGAGAUUGUGUAUGAAAACGAACCAACUCAUAUGAUAGAGAAUGAAACUUCAUUCGAGGCUACAGUGGGUGAAACAUUGGCUGAAGAUAUUCAGAUGGCAGCCGAAAGACCCCUGAAAAACGCUGUUAAUAAGUCCAUGGAGGCUUCCUCUCAAAAUCAAGGCUCUGUUUUGUCUCAAAGUACUUCAAGUAGAUCUGAAACAAAUAGGAGCAGAUCAAGUAAGAAGGCUAGAAGGAGGCUGGGUCGACUAAAAUCUCGAAAUAAAGCAGAUGAUCCAUUGACUUCAGAAAAGGAAAGUACGUCUUACAGGGAAGAUGAUGCUACCAUCAGUAGCGCAGAUCAAGUGUUGACCUCUAGUUCACAUCUCCAUUCUUCUGAAGAUUCAAGGAACAGGAAGCUAUCGGCUGUCUCACAAAUGGAAGUAUCUCCAGAGCUGCUCUUGAAAUCGAGUGUAGAACUUAGGAGGAGAUCUGGUGAACUUCUGAAAGAUGGUUAUAUAAUAGCUUUGCAUGCAAAAGAUCCUCCUGGUCUUUAUGUCUCGAGGCAAAGAGUUAAAGGUGGCGGUUGGUUCCUUGACACAAUGUCAAAUGUAGUGAAACGGGAUCCUGCAGCCCAGUUCCUGGUUGCAUUUAAAAGCAAGGAUACCAUUGGUUUUAGAUCAUUCACUGCUGGAGGAAAGCUGUUGCAGUCCGACAUACAUGGUAACAUAUGUCGGAGAUUUUGUUUUGGCUUUGCAGAUAAACAGAAGGAUGGAAUUCGUAUUUGCUAGUUACAGCUUUGAUGUUUGGGAGGGUUGGAAAUUUGAAGGUGGUUCCUUGGAAGAGUGUAGACUGGUGAACUGCCGAAAUGCACAAGCUGUGCUGGACGUACGCAUUGAGGUCCUUGCAGCUCUAGGUGAAGACGGCAUUACGCGAUGGCUGGAUUAGGCUGUUGUGCCGCUAGCAUCUCGAUCGGUUUUGCUUCCCUCGGUUUGUGGCUCUUAAUUUUUGUAUCCAUUUCAAAUUGGAAUUUCUGUGCUUCCCUAAUCGUCGCGUCUGUGUGAUCAACAAUAUUCUUCUUGUUGUGGCUGCGGUUGGUGGCGAGCAAUAGUCGCAUUCGGGUUUGGUGUCUUCCGACUCUGUAUCGAAGUAAAGAAAGAUCCCGACCAAGCUGGCAAAAAGGGACAAUGGUUAGUUGUGUUUUUACCCUUAUCCUAUAAGGUUUAGAGUAUUGUGAAAAAUGACGAGUCUAUGAGAGUACUAAACGGAAGAUUGUUAUUGCAAGUAUGCGUGUGUGCGUGUGUGUGUGUAUAAUCAAUCAAAAUUUAUUCAUUCUCAAAUGUGUAAAAUGUCGAGGUUACUAUAAUCUUUACAAAGCCCGACAACCAGCUUUAGAGUGUAUUGUAAAUUAGUGACCGAGUGAUUGAUUAAUUCCAUUUGUUCACA